Molecule: non-coding RNA, 279 nt
Organism: Vicia faba (fava bean)
Lineage: Eukaryota; Viridiplantae; Streptophyta; Magnoliopsida; Fabales; Fabaceae
Source: the annotation of a GenBank genome assembly
AUGAAAGGGAUGGAUACAUUGCGUUUCAAGGAGACAGCUAGGGUUCAAGAUUGGAAAAAUUUCCUCUCUUCUUCCUCAAUCUGCGGUGCACCUCACUUCUUUUUCUCUGAUCGAAAUCAAAUAGAACGUCGCCGCUCCUCGACUCGGAUUACAUCCCUAACUCGCACUCUCCUCACCUCAGUCCCGAACCCCUUUCUGUCUCACUCUCUCCGAUUUCGAUUUGUCUUCAACGUCAAUAACGCCUCAGUUUUGUGGAUUCACUCCUUCUCAACGUUGUAA